ACAGGCAACAAAAUGGACAAAGACAAGAACAGCUGCAGCAGGCAGAACUCACCUUCAGACACCAGAUCGCAGUUCAUGAGAAUAAUGCUCAGGACAACUGGAUCAAGCCUCGGAUCUGGGAGAGGGAAAUGGCAGAGCAGAGCCGGGAGGUCGCCCGCUUGAAACACAG
Prionailurus viverrinus (fishing cat) is the source of this 169-nucleotide long non-coding RNA. RefSeq lists it as uncharacterized. The transcript has 3 exons. The record is from RefSeq and is a predicted model, not a curated record. NCBI's taxonomy places the organism in Eukaryota, Metazoa, Chordata, Mammalia, Carnivora, Felidae.